CCUACGGGUGGCAGCAGUGGGGGAUUUUGUACAAUGGGGGCAAGCCUGAUGCAGCGAUGCCGCGUGGAUGAAGAAGCGCCUCGGCGCGUAAAGCCCUGUCAUCAUGGAAGAAAAUGACGGCACCUGAAGAAGAAUCUCCGGCUAACGACGUGCCAGUAGCCGCGGUAAUACGUAGGGGGCAAGCGUUAUCCGGAUUUACUGGGUGUAACGGGGGCGCAGACGGCGGUGCAAGCCAGGAGUGAAAGCCCGCGGCCCAACCCCGGGACUGCUCUUGGAACUGGGUGGCUGGAGUGCAGGAGGGGCAGGCGGAAUUCCUGGUGGAGCGGUGAAAUGCGUAGAUAACAGG
RNAcentral lists this ribosomal RNA (346 nucleotides) under uncultured bacterium. RNAcentral describes it as "partial 16S ribosomal RNA". It matches the Rfam family "Bacterial small subunit ribosomal RNA", at positions 338 to 701 of the family's 1533-position model. The record is from RNAcentral.